Oncorhynchus mykiss (rainbow trout) is the source of this 2543-nucleotide non-coding RNA. The record is from RefSeq and is a predicted model, not a curated record. NCBI's taxonomy places the organism in Eukaryota, Metazoa, Chordata, Actinopteri, Salmoniformes, Salmonidae.
UUCUAGGUGGGGUCUGUGAAUGGCACCGUGAAGAGGUUCAGCACAGAGAAGGGCUUCAUUACUGAGACCAGACAGUGUGGGGAGAGCAACCAGGGCAGGUUCACAGGACUCGCCGCCACAGACCGGUUGGAAUAAAUAUUGUGAAGAAUGUUUGUCGGAUGCGACAGAAUCCCUAGCGGCGCAACCAAGUGGCUACAGGAGGGAAAGAGAAUGGCCUGAAGACUUGGGAUCCGGAGAGACCUGAAACACCGGUCUUUGCCUCCAAGAAUGUGCGUAAUGACUGGCUGGACCUGCGGGUGCCAGAGUGGGUUAGAGACAUGGCCUUCAUCGCAGACUCAGACAAGAUAGACACCUGCACAGGUCAACACCAGGCCUAGAGUGUGUGGGUGUUUAAAGGGCCUGGCAGGAGGGGUGUGGGGGCUUCAGUCCCACCCUUCUCUCUGGUGGCUUCUUGUGGUUUGGACCACUUUCUGAGGGUACACAGCCUGGAGGACCGCUCUCUAUGGAACAAGGUGUAUCUGAAGUCACGACUCAACUGUGUGCUCCUGUCCAGCAGAGAUCUCGAGCUGGGCAGUACAGGAGUGAACGGAGAUAGCGGAGAACUGGAUGAGGUGUGGAACACUAUGGGGAUGAUAAAAGAGAAGGCGAAGAAAAGAGAAACAGAUGAAGCUGUUGUUGAAGAAGCAGAGAAGAUGAAGAUGUUGUUGAAGAAGCAGACAAGAAGACUAAGAAGAGGCAUCAAACACUGUAUUUAUUUCUGAAACAUAUUAUACCCUUAUAUUAAACUAAAUAUGGCUGAUACCGCAGUAGACACGACCACAACCCCUGAGAUUUCAGACAAGGAGCUCAAAGAGAGGAAAGGGGAGGUGGAGGAGAAGGAUAAUGGCAGUCGGGACGCACCAGCCAACAGCAAUGGAACACACACAAAUGGUGCAGAGAAGAAGACCAAUUGUGCAGAUGGUUCUGAAGAAACCCCUGAGGGUGAGGAGGAGGAUGGAGAGGGACUGGAUGCAGCUAAGGAUGCAGAAGAAGCUGUGAUGAGGUUGACCACCCUGUGAAGCGCCCAGGUGAUGAGGAGGAACAAGUGGAAACAAAAAAACAGAAAACGGUGACUCAAAGGAAGCUGAAGUGAAGGCAUAAUGUGCGGAGUAUGUACUCCUCCGCAACGCUGUCUACAUGGCGUGUUCAACUUCACCUUGAAGAGGUGGGGGGGGUGGCUGCCAUUUUAUGGGCUCCUAACCAACUGUGUUGUUUUGUUGUUUCUAACUUAUUUUGUACAUAAUGUUGCUGCUACUGUCUUUUAUGACCGAAAAGAGCUUCUAGACAUCAGAACAGUGAUUACUCGCCUUGAACUGGACAAAGAUUUUUUCUUUAACGAAUCCGACGCAGAGGAUAUACUGCAUUCUCGAGACCAGGCCCAAACCCCAUCAUUUGCGUGAAGAAAAGACAGAGAUAAAGGGGGUGGAGGUCGGGCUUCCCUCUGAGAAUUCAUAGGCGAGUGAGUAAACUUCCACUACCAUUCAUACUAUUGGCAAACGUGCAAUCACUGGAAAAUAAAAUGGAUGAUCUACGAUUAAGAAUAUACUACCAACGUGACAUUAAAAUAUGUACUAUCUUAUGUUUCACCAAGUCGUGGCCGAACGACGACACGGAUACUAUAGAGCUGGCUGGGUAUUCCGGGCAUCGGCAGGACAGAGAAGCUACGUCUGGCUAUCUCUAUCGCACGACACAACCACCACAUCUUAUCUUUGGAAUGCAGGCUCAGUCAGGCCGGAGACAUCUCCCUCUCCUGCACCACUAAUCAGAAUGGAAUGUGGCUGUUGGUUGUAUAGCCAUCACUUAAUCAGAUGCCAGCCCAAGCUUCGAAGACUCCUCUCAGUUCACUCAGAAAAGGAGAGAGCGUUCGAAGAACCCUACUCUAUUGCAUAAAACAACCAUUCAGGUGCAUAAACAGUGUUAUAUCAUUUUGUAAUUUUGCUACCAUACACAACAGAUGGCCUCCAUGAUAAAACGCCUCCACGAUAAAAGACACUUGACCCAUUUGGGGGGCUGGCUUCUGCAAUGUUAAUUACCCCCUCUUAAAUCUUAAGGCUUUGGUCAUGUUCCGUAUGCAUUUCACACAAGUUUGUACCAUUUGUACCCAAGAUACUGUUUGUUUUUUGUUGUUUUUAUUUUAGGUUAUUAUGUUAUGUCUGGCUGACUCAGAAAUUGUGUCGACAACGGUCUUUAUCAACAUUCCCGCCCUGGUGUUCUUAGUCUCUUCUUGUGCAGUUAUAUUUCAUGAUUGCUAUUUGGUUGCUUCAACCACUGCUUUGUAUAUUCUGGUUCUUGAUGAUUAAAUAAAUGAGUCUUGUCUUAAAAACAAAAAAGUUUCCAAAUGACCAGUAGUGGAGAGCUUAAGGAAAAGACUGUUCUCUUUAUGAGGAACGCAGAAGGUCUAGAGGUCUGCCAAAGCCUGUGUUGUGGUUGUACUGAUUGUUUUCCCGUUGAGUCUGUACUGGAAAUGCAUUAGCCAAAGUUUCCCAUUAAAACUAUAACCACUC